RNAcentral lists this ribosomal RNA (799 nucleotides) under Brevibacterium sp. RNAcentral describes it as "bacterial SSU rRNA". It matches the Rfam family "Bacterial small subunit ribosomal RNA", at positions 117 to 927 of the family's 1533-position model. The record is from RNAcentral. Lineage: Bacteria; Bacillati; Actinomycetota; Actinomycetes; Micrococcales; Brevibacteriaceae.
GUGGAGUAAACCUGCCCCUGAUUUCGGGAUAAGCCUGGGAAACUGGGUCUAAUACCGGAUACGACCACCUGACGCAUGUUGGGUGGUGGAAAGUUUUUCGAUCGGGGAUGGGCUCGCGGCCUAUCAGCUUGUUGGUGGGGUAAUGGCCUACCAAGGCGACGACGGGUAGCCGGCCUGAGAGGGCGACCGGCCACACUGGGACUGAGACACGGCCCAGACUCCUACGGGAGGCAGCAGUGGGGAAUAUUGCACAAUGGGGGAAACCCUGAUGCAGCGACGCAGCGUGCGGGAUGACGGCCUUCGGGUUGUAAACCGCUUUCAGCAGGGAAGAAGCGAAAGUGACGGUACCUGCAGAAGAAGUACCGGCUAACUACGUGCCAGCAGCCGCGGUAAUACGUAGGGUACGAGCGUUGUCCGGAAUUAUUGGGCGUAAAGAGCUCGUAGGUGGUUGGUCACGUCUGCUGUGGAAACGCAACGCUUAACGUUGCGCGUGCAGUGGGUACGGGCUGACUAGAGUGCAGUAGGGGAGUCUGGAAUUCCUGGUGUAGCGGUGAAAUGCGCAGAUAUCAGGAGGAACACCGGUGGCGAAGGCGGGACUCUGGGCUGUAACUGACACUGAGGAGCGAAAGCAUGGGGAGCGAACAGGAUUAGAUACCCUGGUAGUCCAUGCCGUAAACGUUGGGCACUAGGUGUGGGGGACAUUCCACGUUCUCCGCGCCGUAGCUAACGCAUUAAGUGCCCCGCCUGGGGAGUACGGUCGCAAGGCUAAAACUCAAAGGAAUUGACGGGGGCGCGCAUA